Molecule: ribosomal RNA, 239 nt
Filed under: uncultured bacterium
Lineage: Bacteria
Description: partial 16S ribosomal RNA
Rfam family: Bacterial small subunit ribosomal RNA
Source: RNAcentral
UGGGUAAUCUGCCCUCGAUUCUGGGAUAGCCCGGGGAAACCCGGAUUAGUACCGGAUAGCCUCUCGAGCUUUCGAGCUCGUGAGAAAAGGUAGCUUCGGCCUCCGAUCGAGGAUGAGCCCGCGGCGGAUUAGCUUGUUGGUGGGGUAAUGGCCUACCAAGGCGACGAUCCGUAGCUGGUCUGAGAGGACGAUCAGCCACACUGGGACUGAGACACGGCCCAGACUCCGUACGGGAGCAG